This 517-nucleotide ribosomal RNA is filed under the name uncultured bacterium. RNAcentral's name for it is "bacterial SSU rRNA". It matches the Rfam family "Bacterial small subunit ribosomal RNA", at positions 355 to 873 of the family's 1533-position model. The record is from RNAcentral.
UGAGGAAUAUUGGUCAAUGGACGGAAGUCUGAACCAGCCAUGCCGCGUGAAGGAUGAAGGCGUUCUGCGUUGUAAACUUCUUUUAUCAGGGAAGAAACCUAUUUUUCUAAGAUAGUUGACGGUACCUGAGGAAUAAGCACCGGCUAACUCCGUGCCAGCAGCCGCGGUAAUACGGAGGGUGCAAGCGUUAUCCGGAUUUACUGGGUUUAAAGGGUGUGUAGGCGGCCUGUUAAGUCUGGGGUGAAAUCCCGGGGCUCAACCCCGGAACUGCCUUGGAUACUAUCAGGCUUGAAUUAUGUUGAGGUAGGCGGAAUAUAACAUGUAGCGGUGAAAUGCAUAGAUAUGUUAUAGAACACCGAUUGCGAAGGCAGCUUACUAAGCAUAUAUUGACGCUGAGGCACGAAAGCGUGGGGAUCAAACAGGAUUAGAUACCCUGGUAGUCCACGCCCUAAACGAUGAUUACUCGUCAUACGAGAUACACUUUGUGUGACCAAGCGAAAGCGUUAAGUAAUCCACC